RNAcentral lists this ribosomal RNA (407 nucleotides) under uncultured bacterium. RNAcentral describes it as "partial 16S ribosomal RNA". It matches the Rfam family "Bacterial small subunit ribosomal RNA", at positions 30 to 526 of the family's 1533-position model. The record is from RNAcentral.
AUUGAACGCUAGCGGGAUGCCUUACACAUGCAAGUCGAACGGAAUGGCGAACGGGUGAGGAAUGUAUCGGAACGUGCCCAGUGGUGGGGGAUAACUAAGCGAAAGCGUAGCUAAUACCGCAUACUAUAGGAGCGGCCGAGAUCGGAUUAGCUAGUUGGUGGGGGAACGGCUCACCCAGGCGACGAUCCGUAGCUGGUUUGAGAGGACGACCAGCCACACUGGGACUGAGACACGGCCCAGACUCCUACGGGAGGCAGCAGUGGGGAAUUUUGGACAAUGGGGGAAACCCUGAUCCAGCCAUCCCGCGUGUGCGAUGAAGGCCUUCGGGUUGUAAAGCACUUUUGGCAGGAAAGCGGUACCUGCAGAAUAAGCACCGGCUAACUACGUGCCAGCAGCCGCGGUAAUAC